AUGGAGAUAGCACGAGGGAGAAGGGGUGGAUUGAUGUGAGCAUAGGUAUUUGGUCAAUUCUAGUGAUAAACUUUCUGUUUUGCGCUAUUUGAGCGAAGGGGUUUGGCUGCUAGAUAAGAGGUGCAGAGCCAGCGGGAGAAUAAUUGUUGCUGGCAAUGUUUACUGCUUUGAUGAGUGUGUAAAUCAAGCAUCAUCAAGUGUCUAUAAUCGCCUUAUCAGCACUUGACGGUUAUGGUAGUAAAAGGUUGUAGAUGAAGUUGUUUGGCAUGUUUGACGGUCAUAUGAUCACAUUGGAUUUGGAUUUUCAGUUAAUUGCGUCAUGAAAAUACAUAGAGAGCGAAUAAGCAACAACAUCAAUUGAAAGCAAUAAAGAGCUAGUUGAGAGCUGUGAAGGCCAAUGAUGAGUGACAGGGUUAGUUGAAAUGCGAUACCAAGGUUUUUAUAUAAUGGAAGGUUAAGCAGGUCGUUUAGUUUGUGGGGAAAAGCAGAGGAAGCCAAAUUUCAAAGGAAUUUGCUGAGGGGGGGGUGUUUGUUUUCAGAAUUUCUCACGGUGAAAAAAUAAUGGCCGCUCAGCCAGUUUUGACAUCUAAGACUACCUUAGAAUAUGUAAAUACCUUGUGCGAUACAGGGUGAUAGAGAGAGAGAGAGCAAAGCAGAGCGAUGAUAAGCGAUACAAAGCACCGGAAUGAGCCUCUGCACGAAUCUGGCGAACUGCUCACUCCCACAGAAAACUUGAAAACAGUUCGCACAGUAAAAGUCAAAUAUGACUUUUACUGUGCGCGCUGUUUUCAAAUUUUCUGUGGGAGUGAGCAGGACAGGGCAAAUUCGUGCAGAGGCUCAUGCAAAGGAAGCGAUAGAGUGCAACGAGAAGGUAGAAAAGCAAUUAUUAGAGAUAGGGAGCGAUAUAGAGUGAUGGGAAGAAAUAAAGAACAACAGAGAGCUUCACAGAGCAAUGAAGUGUGAAAAAAUACGGACAGAAAAAGUGAUUGUGAUCGAUGUAGAAUCAUAUUGACGGAACAACUCUGAUGAAAGGCUCUAAAUACGAUGAAGUGUGAAAUAUAUUGAUAGGAAGCAGCACAGAGUAAAGGAAUAGAAGAAGAAGCAUCUAAUGCACCCUUAUAAGGAUGAUAUCGAUCGAUGUACAGCGCAAGAGAUCGAUAUAGAGUGAUUGAGAUGCGAGACAAGUACACUACUGCUGGAGCGAUGGAAAGCGACAACAAGAGACAUACAUCGAUAGAGAUCAAAGGAUAACGAGCAAUAAAGAGCCGAAGUAAUAAAUGAA
Aedes albopictus (Asian tiger mosquito) is the source of this 1282-nucleotide long non-coding RNA. RefSeq lists it as uncharacterized. Lineage: Eukaryota; Metazoa; Arthropoda; Insecta; Diptera; Culicidae. The transcript has 2 exons. The record is from RefSeq and is a predicted model, not a curated record.